Molecule: transfer RNA, 75 nt
Filed under: Megasphaera hexanoica
Lineage: Bacteria; Bacillati; Bacillota; Negativicutes; Veillonellales; Veillonellaceae
Description: tRNA-Ile
Rfam family: tRNA
About the family: Transfer RNA (tRNA) molecules are approximately 80 nucleotides in length. Their secondary structure includes four short double-helical elements and three loops (D, anti-codon, and T loops).
Source: RNAcentral
GGGCCUAUAGCUCAGUGGUAGAGCCCCCGGCUCAUAACCGGUUGGUCCUUGGUUCGAAUCCAAGUAGGCCCACCA